CGGAGACGCGCAGCGUGUCUCCAGCUCCGGGAGAGAAGAAUGGAAAAAGGGGAUAGGGUGGUGGACUCUGUGUGUGCGUGUAGACGAGGGCAACGCGUGGAAAAAAAGAUGAGGAUAAUGGGCAGAAUUUAAAUAGAUUUUAUUUUAAAUAGAUAAAUACACAUAUCAGGAGUUUCCCCUCUCGCUGUGGACGUUUUCUCCCAUUGGAGCGCAGACCAGAGGAGAGGAGCGGAGCCUCUUUGUGAAUCCUGUUUCACUCCCCAGAGUGAAGUGGCAGUGUCAUCUGACCUUUAACCUCAAUAGAAAGAAGGAAAAGCCACUUCAGAGCUGGAGCAAGUGGGGGUGCCCCUCCUCGAAGCCUUGAUUCAGAGGACCUUGAAAAUCAAAGCCAAAUCAAAGAGAAGUAAAGCCUCGGAGGAUCUUGUCAGGGGAGAGUCUUCCUCGCCGAAGGAGAUAAUUCCCGAUUUAAGUGGAACCAU
Molecule: long non-coding RNA, 479 nt
Organism: Oreochromis aureus
Lineage: Eukaryota; Metazoa; Chordata; Actinopteri; Cichliformes; Cichlidae
Source: Ensembl